RNAcentral lists this ribosomal RNA (505 nucleotides) under uncultured bacterium. RNAcentral's name for it is "partial 16S ribosomal RNA". It matches the Rfam family "Bacterial small subunit ribosomal RNA", at positions 28 to 507 of the family's 1533-position model. The record is from RNAcentral.
GACGAACGCUGGCGGCGUGCCUAAUACAUGCAAGUAGAACGCACAGUUUAUACCAUAGCUUGCUACACCAUAAACUGUGAGUUGCGAACGGGUGAGUAACGCGUAGGUAACCUGCCUGGUAGCGGGGGAUAACUAUUGGAAACGAUAGCUAAUACCGCAUAAUAUUGAUUAUUGCAUGAUAAUUGAUUGAAAGAUGCUAUUGCAUCACUACCAGAUGGACCUGCGUUGUAUUAGCUAGUAGGUGAGGUAACGGCUCACCUAGGCGACGAUACAUAGCCGACCUGAGAGGGUGAUCGGCCACACUGGGACUGAGACACGGCCCAGACUCCUACGGGAGGCAGCAGUAGGGAAUCUUCGGCAAUGGACGAAAGUCUGACCGAGCAACGCCGCGUGAGUGAAGAAGGUUUUCGGAUCGUAAAGCUCUGUUGCAAGAGAAGAACGGGUGUGAGAGUGGAAAGUUCACACUGUGACGGUAUCUUACCAGAAAGGGACGGCUAACUACGUG